Molecule: long non-coding RNA, 185 nt
Organism: Sinocyclocheilus rhinocerous
Lineage: Eukaryota; Metazoa; Chordata; Actinopteri; Cypriniformes; Cyprinidae
Exons: 3
Source: RefSeq, a predicted model, not a curated record
UGAAACUCUUCCCGCAUGCAGUGCAGUGAUAUGGUUUCUCUCCAGUGUGGAUCCUCUCAUGUUUUUUCAAGGAUCCUAACUGACUGAAUGUCUUGUCACAGUGUGAACACUUGUAAGGUUUCUCUCCAUGUGGAUCCUCUCAUGUUUUUUCAAGGAUCCUAACUGACUGAAUGUCUUGUCACAGU